Molecule: unclassified non-coding RNA, 192 nt
Filed under: uncultured Inocybe
Lineage: Eukaryota; Fungi; Basidiomycota; Agaricomycetes; Agaricales; Cortinariaceae
Description: sequence contains ITS2
Source: RNAcentral
GACUUCUCUCAACCACAUCAUCAUCAUGAAUGUGGCUUGGAUGUGGGGGAUUUUGCAGGCUUCUUUCUCAUAGUAGUCUGCUCCUCUGAAAUGCAUUAGUGGUGUCUGAGCGGCUAUUUGGUGUGAUAAAUUAUCUAUGCCUCUGGUAUGCUGGUCAGCACUGCUCAUAAACAAAAAUGUUAUAUUUGACAA